This 496-nucleotide ribosomal RNA is filed under the name uncultured bacterium. RNAcentral describes it as "partial 16S ribosomal RNA". It matches the Rfam family "Bacterial small subunit ribosomal RNA", at positions 30 to 523 of the family's 1533-position model. The record is from RNAcentral.
AUUGAACGCUGGCGGAAUGCUUUACACAUGCAAGUCGAACGGUAGAGGGGGCAACCCCUCGAGAGUGGCGAACGGGUGAGUAAUAUAUCGGAACGUGCCCAGUCGUGGGGGAUAACGUAGCGAAAGUUACGCUAAUACCGCAUACGAUCUAAGGAUGAAAGCGGGGGAUCGUAAGACCCCGCCCGAUUGGAACGGCCGUUGUCAGAUUAGGUAGUUGUUGGGGUAAAGGCUCACCAAGCCAACGAUCUGUAGCUGGUCUGAGAGGACGACCAGCCACACUGGAACUGAGACACGGUCCAGACUCCUACGGGAGGCAGCAGUGGGGAAUUUUGGACAAUGGACGCAAGUCUGAUCCAGCCAUUCCGCGUGCAGGAUGAAGGCCCUCGGGUUGUAAACUGCUUUUGUACGGAACGAAAAGGUCUCUCUUAAUACGGGGGACUCAUGACGGUACCGUAAGAAUAAGCACCGGCUAACUACGUGCCAGCCGCCGCCGUAA